AAUCUUAUAGUUAAAAUUAUAUAAUAUUAAAUUGCAAGUUUAAAGGUAUAGAUAUAUUAUUCUAUUAAGAUUU
This 73-nucleotide transfer RNA is filed under the name Arge aurora. RNAcentral describes it as "Arge sp. CSCS-Hym-MC0179 tRNA-Cys". The record is from RNAcentral. Lineage: Eukaryota; Metazoa; Arthropoda; Insecta; Hymenoptera; Argidae.